UGGGGAAUAUUGGACAAUGGGCGAAAGCCUGAUCCAGCAAUGCCGCGUGAGUGAUGAAGGCCUUAGGGUUGUAAAGCUCUUUUACCAGGGAUGAUAAUGACAGUACCUGGAGAAUAAGCUCCGGCUAACUCCGUGCCAGCAGCCGCGGUAAUACGGAGGGAGCUAGCGUUGUUCGGAAUUACUGGGCGUAAAGCGUACGUAGGCGGUUAUUCAAGUCAGGGGUGAAAGCCUGGAGCUCAACUCCAGAACUGCCCUUGAAACUAGAUAGCUAGAAUCUUGGAGAGGUGAGUGGAAUUCCGAGUGUAGAGGUGAAAUUCGUAGAUAUUCGGAAGAACACCAGUGGCGAAGGCGACUCACUGGACAAGUAUUGACGCUGAGGUACGAAAGCGUGGGGAGCAAACAGGAUUAGAUACCCUCGUAGUCCCUGAGCGGGCUGGCAAGGCGCAU
Molecule: ribosomal RNA, 447 nt
Filed under: uncultured bacterium
Lineage: Bacteria
Description: bacterial SSU rRNA
Rfam family: Bacterial small subunit ribosomal RNA
Source: RNAcentral